Capsicum annuum is the source of this 97-nucleotide non-coding RNA. Lineage: Eukaryota; Viridiplantae; Streptophyta; Magnoliopsida; Solanales; Solanaceae. The record is from Rfam.
AAUGGCCGGGAUAAAGGGUCGCGAUCCCACGAGGAUGAGCUAACCCCAAAAACCCGUCCUCAGCUCGGAUUGCAGGCUGCAACUCGCCAGCACUUCA